GGCGGCGUGCCUAACACAUGCAAGUCAAGGACGUAGCAAUACGGACUGGCGCACGGGUGCGGAACACGUAGGUAAUCUGCCCUCCAGGGGAGAACAACUCGUCGAAAGACGAGCUAAAACUCCGUAACGUCUUACCAUGGCAUCAUGGAAAGACCAAAUUUUCUGGGGGAUGAGCCUGCGCCUGAUUAGCUAGUUGGUAGUGUAAUGGACUACCAAGGCUACGAUCAGUAGCUGGUCUGAGAGGAUGAUCAGCCACAUUGGGACUGAGACACGGCCCAGACUCCUACGGGAGGCAGCAGUGAGGAAUAUUGCUCAAUGGACGAAAGUCUGAAGCAGCAACGCCGCGUGAGGGAUGAAGGUGCUCUGCAUCGUAAACCUCUGUAGUCGGGGAAAAAUGGCGGGUUACUACCCGUUUGAUGGUACCCGAAAAGUAAGGAUCGGCUAACUACGUGCCAGCAGCCGCGGUAAUACGUAGGAUCCAAGCGUUGUCCGGAUUUACUGGGUGU
This 506-nucleotide ribosomal RNA is filed under the name uncultured bacterium. RNAcentral's name for it is "bacterial SSU rRNA". It matches the Rfam family "Bacterial small subunit ribosomal RNA", at positions 38 to 561 of the family's 1533-position model. The record is from RNAcentral.